AUAAUAAAUAGCCAUGCACCCAUACAACGUUACUGACUCAGCCGGAACGUAUGUACGAUGCUUAUGGUUUCAACUUUCCCUGUUUCUUUUGGUUUCACAAUUUUGAGGAUAAACUGAAACUACAUUUCCUUCAUGCAGUGUUUACGAAUGAGACAUUUUGCAAGGAUCGAGACAUAUGAUUGAUUGAUUGAAGAUGAUUUCUUCUUUUGGGGAUUUUUAAUGUUGCUAGAGACACCUCAAAGCAACUUGGAGCAGAUAUCAAUCUCUUAGAUGCCAAUGUGCUGUCAAGACAAAUGGUAAAACAUUGGCUGGUAUUGAUUAUGUAACAAAUGGUAGGCCAAACCCACCACAUAAUCACCGUUGAGUUGAGCUGCAGAGAUACUUACAUUCUUGGAUAGAACACUUUUUGUUGGUUGUCACAUCUAAUUCUGAUCAUGGUUUUUUCAUUAACUUGUGUUUAGGAGAGUAUCUGAUUUAAGUAAAGGUUUUAUAAAUUUUUAAAAACUUCUGACCAAUACCUUGAAAAACUUUUACUAAAAACUUUACUUUGAUAAACCUUACUUUACUCUUAUCAAACAAUCUAAAAAUAUUAAUGCGAAUUUUGAUACAUUGCAGUAAUGUGAAUUCCAUAUGGUGAAGAAUUGCUCAAUACAGAUGCACAUAAUAAUAAAAAUAUCCAUAUGAAAACUCCAAACUCCAUUUAUUUUGAGAAAAAUAACUUCCUUAUGUAUAAAAACAUUUUUCAUUAUUU
This 751-nucleotide unclassified non-coding RNA is filed under the name Hevea brasiliensis (rubber tree). The record is from RNAcentral. Lineage: Eukaryota; Viridiplantae; Streptophyta; Magnoliopsida; Malpighiales; Euphorbiaceae.